ACGAAAUCUCGAACUUCUUUGCCUGUAACGAGUAGAAUAGCACUGGCUCCAGGUAAUUCAAUCUGAAAUCUGGCUAUUUUCGGGUAACGAGUUCGCAGAACUACAAAUGGUUUAUCAGAAAGAAUUGUGGAUCUUUUCUAGGUAUGUGUUAACGAAGAAAUGCAGCUCAUUGCCAGUAACGAGUUGAAUAGAACGUGCUUUGGCUCCUAAACGACGAAAUCUCGAACUUCUUUGCCUGUAACGAGUAGAAUAGCACUGGCUCCAGGUAAUUCAAUCUGAAAUCUGGCUAUUUUCGGGUAACGAGUUCGCAGAACUACAAAUGGUUUAUCAGAAAGAAUUGUGGAUCUUUCUAGGUAUGUGUUAACGAAGAAAUGCAGCUCAUUGCCAGUAACGAGUUGAAUAGAACGUGCUUUGGCUCCUAAACGACGAAAUCUCGAACUUCUUUGCCUGUAACGAGUAGAAUAGCACUGGCUCCAGGUAAUUCAAUCUGAAAUCUGGCUAUUUUCGGGUAACGAGUUCGCAGAACUACAAAUGGUUUAUCAGAAAGAAUUGUGGAUCUUUUCUAGGUAUGUGUUAACGAAGAAAUGCAGCUCAUUGCCAGUAACGAGUUGAAUAGAACGUGCUUUGGCUCCUAAACGACGAAAUCUCGAACUUCUUUGCCUGUAACGAGUAGAAUAGCACUGGCUCCAGGUAAUUCAAUCUGAAAUCUGGCGAUUUUCGGGUAACGAGUUCGCAGAACUACAAAUGGUUUAUCAGAAAGAAUUGUGGAUCUUUUCUAGGUAUGUGUUAACGAAGAAAUGCAGCUCAUUGCCAGUAACGAGUUGAAUAGAACGUGCUUUGGCUCCUAAACGAUGAAAUAUCGAACUUCUUUGCCUGUAACGAGUAGAAUAGCACUAGCUCCAGGUAAUUCAAUCUGAAAUCUGGCCAUUUUCGGGUAACGAGUUCGCAGAACUACAAAUGGUUUAUCAGAAAAAAUUAUGGAUCUUUUCUAGUUAAGUAAAUGCAGCUCAUUGCCAGUAACGAGUUGAAUAGAACGUCCUUUGGCUCCUAAACGAUGAAAUUUCGAACUUCUUUGCCUGUAACGAGUAGAUUAGCACUGGCUCCAGGAAAUUCAAUCUGAAAUCUGACCAUUUUCGGGUAACGAGUUCGCAGAACUACAAAUGGUUUAUCAGAAAGAAUUAUGGAUCUUUUCUAGUUAAGUGUUAACAAAGAAAUGCAGCUCAUUGCCAGUAACGAGUUGAAUAGAACGU
This is a long non-coding RNA of Dermacentor silvarum, 1250 nucleotides long. RefSeq lists it as uncharacterized. Lineage: Eukaryota; Metazoa; Arthropoda; Arachnida; Ixodida; Ixodidae. The transcript has 4 exons. The record is from RefSeq and is a predicted model, not a curated record.